RNAcentral lists this ribosomal RNA (228 nucleotides) under uncultured bacterium. Its description in RNAcentral is "partial 16S ribosomal RNA". It matches the Rfam family "Bacterial small subunit ribosomal RNA", at positions 568 to 795 of the family's 1533-position model. The record is from RNAcentral.
UGCGUAGGCGGCUAUAAGGGUCAGAUGUGAAAUCCCACAGCUCAACUGUGGAACUGCGUUUGAAACCGUAUAGCUUGAGGAAGUCAGAGGUAAGCGGAACUGAUGGUGGAGCGGUGAAAUGCGUUGAUAUCAUCAGGAACACCGGUGGCGAAGGCGGCUUACUGGGACUUUUCUGACGCUGAGGCACGAAAGCUAGGGGAGCGAACAGGAUUAGAUACCCUGGUAGUC